ACGGGGGGCCUACGGGAGGCAGCAGUGGGGGAUAUUGCACAAUGGAGGAAACUCUGAUGCAGCAACGCCGCGUGAAGGAAGACGGUCUUCGGAUUGUAAACUUUUGUACCUAGGGACGAUAAUGACGGUACCUAGGCAGCAAGCUCCGGCUAACUACGUGCCAGCAGCCGCGGUAAUA
Molecule: ribosomal RNA, 178 nt
Filed under: uncultured bacterium
Lineage: Bacteria
Description: partial 16S ribosomal RNA
Rfam family: Bacterial small subunit ribosomal RNA
Source: RNAcentral